Molecule: long non-coding RNA, 1000 nt
Filed under: Marmota monax (woodchuck)
Lineage: Eukaryota; Metazoa; Chordata; Mammalia; Rodentia; Sciuridae
Source: RNAcentral
CUCAUCAUCACCACAGAGCUGACGCUGUCAGGUUUUGGAUGCCCGGGAUCUGUUCCCUCUUCCUCCAGCUAUAGCUGGUGACCAGUGGGAAAGCACCGCUUCCUCCUAGCCUAUGGGGUCCUCAUGCCUUUGCUCUGGGGGUGUGCACAUGAUCUGCACCUGGCCAACCUGCAUUUUCCAUCCCUCUGACUGCAGCAUUGGUUCAGGACAGAACGUGUGACCAAAGUUGGACCCAUGAGAGGUAUCUCUAGGCCUUUUUCCACAGCUCUUGAGGAUUUCUGCCUAAGUUGUUAAGGGCCAUCUUUGCUACCCAUUGAGCCAAUACAGAAGCAAAGAGGUACAAGGGAUCGGAAGAUAACAUGGUACGAAGUCUGAUGACACCGAGCAUCUAGCCUCACACUCUUGGGCCAGGCAUUGAAGUCACAUGAGCCAAUCAAUUUAGUUUUUGCUUUAGCUUAUUAGUUGAUUUGGGUGGCUCUGAUUUUCACCCAAAAAGAUCCUGACAUGAGAGAGCUGUAAAAACUUGAGUUGAACCAUCUCAGCAAAGGAAAUUGCUGCUUCAACUAUUGUCCUUUUGCUUUGGCUGAAGGAGGACGCGAUCAUCCUCGUUUUCAAUCCCUCCUUCUCACGUCCUUAGUUUUCCAUACUGCAUUUAGGUAUUCCUUGUACCACCAUGCUGACAUGAAGCAGAAUUCCAUACAGCCCUCGUGUCCUUUGUGUGAAAAGGCUCAUGUCCAUGGAGAUGGCUGGUCAAGGGCAACGGUAUUUGAAGAAAUUACCCUGAUUUCUGAUGUUGCUGGGUGUUGAGUAGUUCCUUAGAGGAUGCAUCAGGUACUUGUCUUUAUAUUUUAUGAAUGUUAAAACCCUGGAAACAGAGUGUCAGAGGAUGAGAAGAGACUGGCUUUUAAAGAUGUUCUAUAUUUAAAUUAUAGCUGCAAGCUGCGUAUUUUCACCUACAUUAACAGCAGGGAAGCAGCUAUACUUUUCUGAACCAUUUGCC